This is a non-coding RNA of Pelobates cultripes (western spadefoot toad), 818 nucleotides long. The record is from the annotation of a GenBank genome assembly. NCBI's taxonomy places the organism in Eukaryota, Metazoa, Chordata, Amphibia, Anura, Pelobatidae.
CACAAUUAAACAAAAAAGUGAAAUAUGCUAUAAAAAUAUGCUUUACCACUGAAAAUGUUUAUAAUUUUAUUAUAGUUUCAUUAAAUAGCAUUAAUAUGAUUCAUUUUCUAGUAAUGUAUGAUAGAUGUCUGACAUUAGGUUGCAAAAGUGUUCCCACACGUGUCAUUCAAAAAAUAGAUAUAUUAUCAUAUUUGUUAGUUAUACUUCAAUAGUGCUAGUCAUGCCAUAGCACAAUAUCACAAUAUCACAUUUCACCCUGAUAGGCAAUGAGGAUGCACGGCAGGUCAGUCAUCCAAGUCAGGAACAAAGUUCAGGAAGGUUUAAUACCUACCAUUAUACUGCACAUUUCCUGCUGUUUUUGAUAAAAUUGGUUAACAAUGGCAUUUUAGAACUUACCAGUAACCUACCUUGUCACUCACAGAAUUGUGUUUGAGAGGCCAAAAAAGUUUUUUAUACAAAACAAGACAGGAUAUUCCAUCAUAUUAGUAAUUCACCAGAUAACAUAAACUGAAUUUUUCCUGUUGAAUCCCUUGAAGAACAAGAGCUCAGCAUUGAACUACAAGUCCCAUGAUGCCGUGCAUACCUUUAGAAUGGCAAAGCAUCAUUAUAGUUUUAAACCAUCUGGGGAUCUACCUUUUGGGCACCCCUGAGCUAGGCAAAUCCUUUCCACUAUUCGUCAAUGCAGAGUUUAAUUCAUAGAAAUGUAAUGAGCUAAUUUAGUGAGCUAUAGGGUUAAGCAUGCAAAUCGAAAUAAAAGAAAUAUGCCAUAUUUGUUCCUAUGUGUACUUAUAAAGCAACAGAGAUACUGCUUAUUUGUG